UUGAUUUCCUGCCAGUGGUCGUUGGAAUUCCAGCGCCCUUUACCCUUUCGACAGUACGCUCGGAUCUGCCCACGCGCGCUGGGCGUGGCGAGAGAUCGCCACGAGGAAGACCCGGAAGAUCCCGAAUUGUGUCUAUGCUAGUCGAUCAUCCUUCGCUCCGAAAAGAAAUCGCAUCCUAACACUGCCGCGCUAAUUGCUGCUAAUAUUGAUUAAACGAAACAAUGUACUGAACUUUGACAUUUCCUAACCACAGGGUGCAAGUUAAACGAAACCGUUCUCCGCUAACGUUAUACGAGUAUUCCCUUUGGAUAGCAGUAAAAUUUUAUCUGACGACCUACAUUCUACCCCUUUUGGAAGAACGCUAAGAGAUUCUGCAUGUUAUUAUCGAGAUACUUGAAAAUAUAAUUGAUCGUCGGAGCUGUCGCGGAUGGAAAGACGUCAGCGAGUCGAAGAGGUUGGGUCAAGGCUGUGAUACUGUCGCACACGUCCUUUGUUCAGGUUGUUCAAGGGAACAUCGAACGAGUAGAGCAUAAGUGGGACAUCCACUUGUCGCUCUUCGAUCUGCAGUCUCCGAGGACGAUGCACAUAGAUGACGAGGGAAGUUUCGUUACCUAAGAACGAACCUUGCUUUCUGAACGCUUAUUUGAUCGAUCGACAA
This is a non-coding RNA of Osmia lignaria (orchard mason bee), 658 nucleotides long. The record is from RefSeq and is a predicted model, not a curated record. Lineage: Eukaryota; Metazoa; Arthropoda; Insecta; Hymenoptera; Megachilidae.